RNAcentral lists this microRNA (23 nucleotides) under Drosophila erecta. RNAcentral's name for it is "der-miR-975-5p". Its record names the gene der-miR-975-5p. Lineage: Eukaryota; Metazoa; Arthropoda; Insecta; Diptera; Drosophilidae. RNAcentral also lists the same sequence under 1 other name. The record is from miRBase by way of RNAcentral.
UAAACACUUCCUACAUCCUGUAU